This 65-nucleotide transfer RNA is filed under the name Aularches miliaris. RNAcentral's name for it is "tRNA-Ala". It matches the Rfam family "tRNA". From Rfam's summary of the family: Transfer RNA (tRNA) molecules are approximately 80 nucleotides in length. The record is from RNAcentral. Lineage: Eukaryota; Metazoa; Arthropoda; Insecta; Orthoptera; Pyrgomorphidae.
AGGGAUAUAGUUAAACAUAACAUCUGGUUUGCACCCAAAAAGUAUUGAAUAUUCAAUUAUCCUUA